AUAAGAUUUCGAAGUUUUACCCAUUUUUGAAUAUAGAUAGUUGUCCAGACAUUACAUCUCAAGAGUUAAAAAUUAGAUGAAAAUAAAGUUGCAUGUCAGCUCUAUGCGCCUGCUUCUCUACAUCUUUCUAAUUCCAAUUGGGUGCCCAGUGCCACCCUACCUCUCAAGUUUUCAAUAGAAAGGAGUCGAAGGAAACAUCACUGAUCUUCACUCUUUCUAAUUGAUAAUUACAAAUAAUUAACUCCUCCAGCAAGUUGUACCAAGGAUGAAUAUGAUGCACAAAUGCUUUGCAGCCAAAAGGGGGGUUCUACUGUCCAAGGUGGGGUAAGACCAUUUGAUUUGGGCUCUUGACAUUGGCUUCAGAAGAUCUGAAAGAAUACACUCCUGUCUUCUUCAGAAUUUUUGAAGCUAAAUGCAAGCACGUAAUUCUUAUGUGCUCUGGUGCAUCAAGGUUUGUUCGUAUAUUUGUGUUUAGAAAAAAGGAG
RNAcentral lists this long non-coding RNA (485 nucleotides) under Olea europaea subsp. europaea. The record is from RNAcentral. Lineage: Eukaryota; Viridiplantae; Streptophyta; Magnoliopsida; Lamiales; Oleaceae.